CGUGCUUUUAUGGGUAGUUAGACAAAUCUUCAAACUUUUUAGGUAUAAGCCCACCAUAUAUUUCUUGUUCAGGGACAAACGUAGCUGCUUCCGGUGGUGGAAAAAUUUUCUGAAGCUCCAAGUUUGGAUUCUAGACUCGAAAAUAUUGUCAGCAGCCAAGCCCAUUAACCAUUUGAUCGUGUUAAAGGUGAUGAUGCCAUUGGCAAGAGAGCUGGACGCAGGGAUCAGUAGCUGUACAUGCCUCAAUGAUCAUGUUUCCAGGUCCUUCAUAUCAUCAUCAUGGGGAAGUGGACGCUCUGAUCGAUAAGUUUCUAACAUCUCGGCUUCAUUAAUGACAAUGUAUAUUUGCUGCAAAACUGCUUUUCAACUUUUUCAUUCGUGAGCUUGGGAUCAUUGUGAUCAGAAGAAGUGGUGGAAGCCACCGACGGAGCAUCCCAUCCAGGACCAAAUGUGAAUGCAGUUGUGGAAGAUAUCAAAGCAUCACAAUCUGUAGCAGUGCUCGUGCUAUUGGGCUGCAGCUGCUGCUGUUGAAGGUUUUGGUACUGAUCGUCAGAAUUAAAUUCAAUCCCAUCGAUAGGGAUGUUGCUAGUACUUGCAUCUCUCGAGACUACUGCUGCAGAAGGCUCGUAGCUACUGGAACUGGGAUGAUCAGCUACUGUGUGAUGCAGUUUGGAGGAUGAAGCUUUGUUUUCAUUGUUGGAGUCGGAGUAAUUAGGUUCCAGAGGCUUGUGAGUUCUUGGAUCAAUUCCUUGGCUGAUCAACUUCUUACUCAGGCGAUGAAGGCGGAGGAUGAGAUCUUCUUCAUCCCAGGCGAUGUGGCCGCGCUUAACGGAAGGACGGAGGUAAUUCAUCCACCGGAGACGGCAGCUCUUGCCGCAGCGGAGGAGACCUGCCUUCUUAGGCAGAGUCCUCCACCGGCCUUCGCCUUCUCUCUUGAUAAGCUCCAGCUCCUGUACUAUUUGCUGCUGCUGCUGCUUGUGGUUUUGAUGAUGGGUUCCUCAUUUCGGCCACUCUCCAGUAGUUUUUGCCCUUGUUCUUGUGGUUCUUGUCUGGUAGAUUUUGAAGACGGAAUGGAUAGCUGAAUAUCGGAAAUAUGCUUAUCGAAAUGUAUGCUUCGGAGUUAAGGAUGGAGAUAGAAUGGGUCCGCACGCAUACACCUUGCGAGCGUGAUUGGCACGCGCUGUCAUAGGUGGAUUACGAUUAUUUUGGUUAAGAAUAGUUCUAAUACAGUUUUUUUAAUACAUUAUUUCAAAUAUUCCUUUCAAAGAAUGAUGAAUUUUGUUCAUUUAACAUCAUCCAUCUUUAAUUGAUCUAUUUGUGCGGUUUUCA
Non-coding RNA from Coffea arabica (coffee), 1329 nucleotides. The record is from RefSeq and is a predicted model, not a curated record. Lineage: Eukaryota; Viridiplantae; Streptophyta; Magnoliopsida; Gentianales; Rubiaceae.